UUGUUUCGCAUAUGUUUUCGAUAUCCCAAUUUAUUUUUCACAAUACCCUUUUGUACUUUGGUGUUUGUGAGAUUAUUUGGACCUUUGGUAGAAAUAGUAAAGGGAUUAUAUGGACCUUUGCCAAAAUGAUAAAGGGAUUAUCUGGACCUUUGCUAUUAAUGGUAAAGGGUAUGUGCUUAGAGCCCACGAUGUUCUAGAUUAAGUUUGG
This 208-nucleotide long non-coding RNA is filed under the name Musa acuminata (dwarf banana). Its description in RNAcentral is "long non-coding RNA (MACU_LNC009106)". The record is from RNAcentral. Lineage: Eukaryota; Viridiplantae; Streptophyta; Magnoliopsida; Zingiberales; Musaceae.